Molecule: ribosomal RNA, 253 nt
Filed under: uncultured bacterium
Lineage: Bacteria
Description: partial 16S ribosomal RNA
Rfam family: Bacterial small subunit ribosomal RNA
Source: RNAcentral
UACGUAGGGGGCAAGCGUUGUCCGGAUUUAUUGGGCGUAAAGAGCGUGUAGGCGGCCAGGGAGGUCCGUUGUGAAAACUCGAGGCUCAACCUCGAGACGCCGAUGGAAACCCCCUGGCUAGAGUCCGGAAGAGGAGAGUGGAAUUCCUGGUGUAGCGGUGAAAUGCGCAGAUAUCAGGAAGAACACCAAUGGCGAAAGCAGCUCGCUGGGACGUGACUGACGCUGAGGCACGAAAGCGUGGGGAGCAAACAGG